AGUGAACGCUGGCGGUAGGCCUAACACAUGCAAGUCGAACGGCAGCACAGUAAGAGCUUGCUCUUACGGGUGGCGAGUGGCGGACGGGUGAGGAAUACAUCGGAAUCUACUUUUUCGUGGGGGAUAACGUAGGGAAACUUACGCUAAUACCGCAUACGACCUACGGGUGAAAGCAGGGGAUCUUCGGACCUUGCGCGAUUGAAUGAGCCGAUGUCGGAUUAGCUAGUUGGCGGGGUGAAGGCCCACCAAGGCGACGAUCCGUAGCUGGUCUGAGAGGAUGAUCAGCCACACUGGAACUGAGACACGGUGCCGACUCCUACGGGAGGCAGCAGUGGGGAAUAUUGGACAAUGGGCGCAAGCCUGAUCCAGCCAUACCGCAUGGGUGAAGAAGGCCUUCGGGUUGUAAAGCCCUUUUGUUGGGAAAGAAAAGCAGCAGGUUAAUACCCCGCUGUUCUGACGGUACCCAAAGAAUAAGCACCGGCUAACUUCGUG
This 492-nucleotide ribosomal RNA is filed under the name uncultured bacterium. Its description in RNAcentral is "partial 16S ribosomal RNA". It matches the Rfam family "Bacterial small subunit ribosomal RNA", at positions 29 to 507 of the family's 1533-position model. The record is from RNAcentral.